Oncorhynchus kisutch (coho salmon) is the source of this 2431-nucleotide long non-coding RNA. RefSeq lists it as uncharacterized. The record is from RefSeq and is a predicted model, not a curated record. The transcript is spliced from 2 exons. NCBI's taxonomy places the organism in Eukaryota, Metazoa, Chordata, Actinopteri, Salmoniformes, Salmonidae.
UGUGACGUCAAUGGGGGCGGGGCGUUAGUGAGAUCGUGAGAGGUUUCUUCUUCGAUCUUGGAGAGUGCCUACUACUGAAAACUAAUAACGUUUCUCCGUCUCAUCAUUUGACCCUAUUAAUCAAGUUACGUAAUGUGCAAAAGUGCAAUAUGACUCUCAGCACAUUGAGGUAACAUGGUUAACUACAUAGUCCAUGAGUUUGGUCACGUUUGAAGGCAAUUGAAGGGAGUUUUAACAGAGUGAUAAACUGGUUGGUAUUUUCCCCAUUGUAAGUAAUGGAGGUUGGCUAGGUUGCUAAUGGUUUACAUGUAAGAGAAGGGAUCAAGAUGGCGUCCUAUUUGUUUUAUUUUCUAUCAAAGACUCAGUUAUUUAGUUCAGGUAAUAUAUGUAAAUAUGUGAUGUCACGAUAAAAUGUGUUGAUAUUUCUACAAAAAUAGCAUUAACAGUUCGCUAGCUUGAUGCUAUCCAUAUUUAGCUUGGCUAAGCGCUAGCUAGCUUUAGGCUAGUUGAUUUCAGUCAACGUCAGCUUACAUGUUAGUAGUUUAUAAUAUAAUGAUUGUAGCACCGUUUAGCACAGGCCUCCAGUAAUUUCUAGCUUUUCCCAAAUUGACACUGAUAGUACAGUGAGUUAUAUAUAAUAUGAAUGUGUAGAUGUGUGGUGAUAGUAUUUUAACCUCAGACCUUUUAUUUUUUUGAUACUGGAGUAUGAAAUGUGGAGAUGUAAUGCAACAAUAGAGUUGUAAUGGAUACCUGGUUUUGAAACCAAAAAGAUUAACAAAAGAGAACAGUAUUUUAAUACAUCUUGGAGAAUUCCUACUACUGAACACUAGUAACGUUUCUCCGUCUCAUCAUUUUACCCUGUUAAUUCAGGUUUAUUAUCUGCUGACCACAUCCCAGUCCGAGGCGUGUAACAUAUGUCAACAGGUGUUAAGGACUUGAAAGUUACAGAAAUUGAGUCAACUGUAAGGACAAGGGAUCACAGCUAAAUGAAAUCCAACUGAUGCCAUUGCGUGAAGACACAAACAAGCUGAUAUUCAUUGAUUAUUUUUGACUGCUGUCAUAUUAAAUAUAAUUCCAUUAUUGCUUUUGUGCUGAGUUUCACUAUUUAUCAAGGCUACUUCUACUUCUGAAUCAGUAAGCUUGACUCUGAAUCAUGUGCAGUGUGACCACUGAGACUUAAACUAACUCAAUAUGACUCCUGAGAUAUACAGUUAAUCAAUUAUAGCGUCUUUGAAAAUAAUCAAAAUCAGUCAGUCUGGUCAGAGUGACUCUAUAAAGACAGACUGAAUCAACAGAGAGAGUUAGAGAGAGCGAGAGGGAGAUUGUCUAGAAUCAGACUCUUUAAACAGUCUUGGUUUGACCACCAGAGAAAAGAAAGAAAGUAGUUAUGAGCUGAACAAUAUGCCAGUGGAAGGGAGGACAGUACCAGGUAACCCAGUUGUGGUUUGUAACUAUUCUGAUUUCUCAUUGUUGCCAAUUGAGUUGCAGUGGAAUAGAAACUCAGUGGCACCAGUUAUGUGAUCCAGACCCCAGAUGGUAGGUGUUCUGCCCGUGUGUCAUGUUAACAUGCUGAAAGGGUAUUAUAUGCGUGACUCUCCAGACAGCUCCUCAGGUGAGCCGGUCCAGCCCGUCUCCAGUGUGUCUGCGGUGGUGCUGAAGCCUGUCUGGGACCUAGAGGAGGAUAAGGAGGACGGGUUGGAGUUACUCCAUACGUUACAGCAGUGUGAACACAACAAGUUACCCUCUCAAAUGGAACAUGUGGAGAACAAAUCAAACGAAUGAUCUUAUCCUGUUGAUAAAUAGUUUUCUCAAUGUGUUUCAGGACGUUCCAAGUCGCACGGCCAUCUUGGAACAUGACGUGGAUGUGGGGAACGCUGCUCCUAUUCGUCAGCAUCCGUACCGGGUUAACGCACAUAGUCCAUCUAACCGUCAGCCAGUCCUGAGCUGCUCCUCAGUCCUGAGCUGCCCCUCAGUCCGGAGCUGCCCCUCAGUCCGGAGCUGCCCCUCAGUCCUGUGCUGCCCCUCAGUUCGGAGCUGCCCCUCAGUCCGGAGCUGCCCCUCAGUCCAGUGGGGCCCUUUAGUAGGGUUGCCAGUCCUAGGUCGGUGGCGAGGGUCGCCGCUUUAAAGAGGCCACAGAGGCGGGCGAAGAGGCGCACCAGAACUUUGGUGAAGUGGGGUCCACGUCCCGCGCCAGAACCACCACCAUCUAUUUCUGUGUUUGGCAUGAUAUGGUUCUCAAUCAGAGGCAGCUGUUUAUCGUUGUCCCUGAUUGAGAACCAUAUUUAGGUAGCCUGGGUUUCACUGUUGUUUUGUGGGUGUUUGUUUCCUGUGUCAGUCUUUGUGCCACACAGGACUGUUUCAUUAAUAUUCACUUUGUUAUUUUAUAUUGUGUCAUGUUCAGUUUAUUCUAUUAAAACAUGGACACUUACCA